GGCUUGCAGUAGCUGGCUUAUCUAGAAACUGAACAAUUUUGACUCUGAUUGCUUCAAGUUCAAGUCUUAGCUUUUUGAUGCUGAUGCGUCUUAUUCUGUACAUAAAUUAAGGCUCAUGAAAGGGAGGAACUUAUCCAUUGAUGAUGUGGAAGAGAAGACUCAUUUGAAUUAAGAAAGAGGGUAUGUAUAGAUGUAAGAAGAAGAGGAGGUGAGCUUCUUUCGCUUGUUUGAAUGAAUUUUGAUGACUUCUUGGUAAAGCCAAGAGCGGUGCAUUAAGUCAGCCGUACAUAAAUAAAUUUUGUUAUGUAUAUAUGUAUUAAGAAAAACUUGCUUUGUUGAAUUUUGGCUUUGUUGAAUGAUUAUGAUGACUUCCUGGCUCCUUUUAGAACUUGCUUUUUCUAAAGCCAAGAGCGGCGGCAUUGAGUCCGCCGUAGACCACUGCAGGCCGGUAUUCUCUGGUUUCGUAAUUAUGGCUCAGCAUCCGUUUGAUUCGCAGGAAGGAGGGAAAAAAAAAAGAGAAAUGAUUAAUAAAAAAAUUAUAUUUAGCUAAAAUUAAAAAAAGUUUUUUCAUAAAAAUAAAAUUUUUAUAUUUUAUGAAAAAUAAUUAUAUGGGAUAUAAAAGGUCAUGUUUUUAUCGGUCGAAAAUUGAGAUUUUUUUUUCAAAAUAUCUUUUACUUUUUAGAUAAUAAAAUAAAUUUUUUUUUUUGUUCAGACUGAAAAAAUAGAUACUCAACCAAAUAUAUGCUAUUUUGAAAUGUCCACUUUUUUUAUAGUCAAUCAAACAUGAAAAAGAAACUUUUGUAUGCAUCAUAUAUUUAAGCACUAGCUUCUCAGAAAAAAUAUUUCAGUAACAAAAUAUUUAUCCUCUAAAUCAAACAAGUCCUAAAUGGUACAAGUCAAUUUCUUAUCACCAUGAGAAGAGCUAGCAGAAUUUAGGACAUCAAAAAGCAACAAAUGAUGGAAUAACAUGUCGACUGCUGUCACCAUGAAACUUAAAUAAAGAAAAUAUCUUGUCGCUCUGUUGCAAUAGUUACAUGUCAAAAACUAAUUCACCUAUUGGAGAAGCUAUGAAAUACAAUCAUCAUUAAUUCUGGAGCACUUCUAGAAGAGAUGAGCUCUGAAGUCGAAUGAGUUACAUGAAGUCCGUCCAUAUCCAUACUACUACAGUCAUUUUCAGUCUCCGGUGGCAACUCCCUUCUUCUUCUUUUAAUCAUAUUUUUUUCAAUUUUUAGACUCUCUAGUUUAUUACUAAAAAGACGGUCUACAGUCUAUAGUUGAGAAACCUAAUCGGACCAUCUAUGCCGUUAGCUUAGACAUAUCAUGUCAUUUUCGAAUGAUAAGAUAAGAGAAUUAUGGAUUUGAAAGUCCUGGUGGAAGUGGACGGCAUGCUCAUCCUCCAAGUAUUCUAAUCCCUGACGUACGUCCACGCAUCAAAAAACAUUAAAAAAAACACACCGAUCCUGCUCUUGAUUAUAAAUUUGUAGCUCGUUAUGACUGGAUUUACAUUGUUUUUGAUGUGUGCGCGCCCGUACGUGCACGUAUGCUUAUGCAAGCACCAAGCCACAUGCAUGCACGCAUUUAUAGACGAUCUAACCAGCUAAAGAUGGGUUCAUUGGUCCAGUCUACACCAACCAUUGAUUCCUCCAUAAGCUCUAUUUCAAAUCCUUCCAUGCCAAUACUUCCUGCUGCAAGAUCAGACAUGUAGCUAGGCUUGGUGUGCGAUGAAAGUUGUACAUUCGCAUUUGCAAAAUGAUAUUAAUAAGAAUAAAGAAGUAAUAGUGAUGGUAUGUACACAUGUACAGAAUGGCGAAGGCAUGCAGUGUUCAAGACACAGUUUUCAUUGCAUUCUUGAAGCCUCUUCUUUUAGUUCCAACAAAUUAAUUUAGAGGGUUGCUGCCUCUGGAAUCCAUCCGACCGAUGGCAAGAGAAACAAACUUUUAAAUAAAUAAUCGUGUAAUUCCUCACUAAUAGGAUAAUUCUAAUUUGACUUUAAUGAAAAACCUCUUGGUGUGGGAUGAGGGAAUACAAAACGGUGAAUGCUUUAAUUUAGUGGUUCAUAAGUAUUUGCAGAGCAGUUUGAACUAGUAUUACCGUUGGUUAUGUACAAUAGGCCAUUUUAAUAGGUUGUUCAUUCCAGAUAAAUGCCAGAUAUCCAGUGGAAUGUACAUCACAGAAAGACAGACGAAGACUGCUUUAGAGAAGUGGAAAUUGCAUGCAAAAUGCUAUCCUUUUUCCAUCUUUCAUAAGAUCAAAGAAGGAAAAUAUUGAAGGAACAAUAGACUAACAUAUCAAAGUUUUGUUUUAAUCUCAGAGCAGAAAAUAGAUUUUGGAUCACUAGAUUCUAAACUAGGGGUGGCAAUGAAUUGAUACAUUGUAGGACAGGUUAGAUUAUCUAUUUAAUAAAAUAGUUAAGUUUAUAUUUGAAUUUUUGACUCAUUGAGUAAACAAAAUAGGUUUGGAUUAUUAGAUUUAUGAUAUGUCAUGUAUCCGACCCAACUUGUAUCUGGUUCGACCUAACCUCUAUCUGCUCCAACCUGAUCCUAUUGCCACCCCUAUUCUAAGUAGAACAAAAGGGAAGGGGUAUAGAAUAACUAAUUAUCCCAUUCCAAAAGGACAGGUAGGCACUUAGAACUUUGGCUAAGAAAACAUAGAGAACAACAGGGAGUAAGGUUGAAAUUGGAUUGGAUAUAGAUCAGAUACUAGUAUAUCCAUAUAUGUAUUUAUUUUAUUGAAAAAUGCAGAUACGGAUAUGGAUGUCAGUCGCAUGAAAAAAUUCAUGUCUAUAUUUAUUUUAAAUAAAUACGGAUACCAAUAAGAUACCGAAAGUAUAUAUAUAAAUAUGGAUAUAAAUCAUAUAAUUAAACUUUAUGACCAUAAAAUCAAAGAUAUUACUAAGUGGAUGAUAAAUCAAGUUGAUAGAUUAUUAAUAUGAUUAUUAUUUUUUUAAAAGUUUAGAAGUGCUAUAUAAAAUUAAAUAAAAUUAAUAAUAAAAUUAAGUAUUCGGAUAUAGAUUGAAUAGUUAUUUAUUUUUAUUCAUAUCUAUUUUUUUUUGAUGGAUAUCAAUACCGAUAUAAAUAUUGAUAGGAUGUCUAAAUUUUUAUUAAUAUUUGGAUAGAUUUGAAUACAAAAACGAAUCUAGAUGGAUAUUAUGUUAUCCAUAUUGAUCUCAAGCACGGAGUGGAUGAGGGGGGAGGCUAUUCUAAUCUAUUCCACCUAUUCCACCUCCGACCCCCUUGCUUUCCACACGGUCAUACUGCUGCCGGUCCUUGGCCCUCCACCUCUCCCAUCACAUCCACGCUUCUCGUCGUUCUUAUCUUUUGCUAGCUACCCUGAUCUCACCCUUGCCGUGUUCCGCCAUGAUGCCCUCUUCGUCCCUAACUCCAACCCCUUGCCCUCGUCAACCCCUUGCUGCGAUCCAGGCAUUCUAUUUCAUCAAAUAGCUUGUGAAUGGAUUUAAUACGGGCUUGCUUGGUGCGUAGGAAGGUGUUUUGAGUGGGGAUUUCAUCGAACAGCUUGUGGGUGGAUCUACUGGAGGCGAGUUUGGUGCCUGAGAAGCUAAGUCGAGCGGGGAAAUGGAACAGAAAUUGGUGACGAAGUUGGUCGAGAGGAGGAGGAGAUGUAGCUAAGCUUAGGAGAGCGCAUAUUUGUUAACCCUACCCCCUACCGAAAACCCGCAAGCCUUCUAUAAAAGUUUUCGUCCUGUUCCUAGUCUUUCACUCGAACCGAACGCAGAAAGGAGGGGGUGACGAUGGCCGCGCACGCAGGGGACGUCGAAGCAGUAAAUUUCGAGCCGGACAACGACGACCUCAUGGACGGGGACGAGGGCGCCGAGGUGGACGUCUCCUCCCCCACGGUCUCUGCCCCCAAGCUCCGCUCCACCAUAACCGGCGGCGCCUCCUCCUUCGCCGGCGGCGAGUCCUCCGUUGGGCCGAGGAAAGACCAAGGGGAGGGGCUUCCGCGAGGAGGCUGAGCGCAGCCGCAGCACCCGCCCCGCCUCCCGGGACUUCGAUUCCCUCGACUCCGACGGCGGCCCCGGUCCCCAGCGAUGUGAGCUUAAUCCAUCCACCUCCCUUUCUUUCCUUUUGAUUCUCCUUCCUUCGUUUUCGAGUACUUAAUAUUGUGUAUAUGACAUUGAUUUGGAUUUUUUUUUUUUCUGUAUGUCAUGACUUAAACAUCCUAUUUUCGAGGCAUCACAUACUUAUGAAUUUCCUUUUUUUUCCUAUAUAAAAAAGUUUCUAUUCAACAAUGUUAGUGGCUAGAAUUUUGCUUGAGACGGACUUGUAAAAGAACAGACAAUAGAGAGACUUUGAAUCUGAAAGGAAAAAAAAAACAACUUCCAAUAUUGAGUCAUGGAAUAGCCUUCAUUUGAAGAAGUUUUUGGUGAUCCAAACCAGAUACCAUGAUGUUAUGCCUGCUAGCUUUUGUGUUAGACAUCAAAGAAAUUGUCCAGACAGUGGUAGGUGCCUAAGGUUGUCAUGAACCAAACAGCUUCCUUGCUGUUCAUGAUAGAACCAGCUGACUGUAACCUCUCAUUUUAGAGAACAUGCAGGAAAAAGUAUGGAGUCACCAAGUAGCACAGAGGUGGCUAUAAAAAGUGAAAUUUCGGUUUACCAUUCUCCGGAUACACGAUGCUGCAUCUUACCUAGAUUAUUUGCACACUAUGAUACUCACUCUUGCUUGAUCACUUAAUCACGACUUUAAUAAAAUUCAACUUUUCAGGAGCAUUCCUUCUUGUGAUCUAGUUUUGUUCAUCCUCGUUUCUGAGGUUCAUUGUCUUGUAACAAUAACUGCAUGUAAAUUUUCUUGUGGUUCUCAUGAUUUUACAGCUUAUUACAGGAAAUUGGUAUUACAUGUUGUUUGUCUUUGCCUAUAUUCUAAUUCUAUAAAUGACAUUGCUAGUUCUUAACUAGAGAAAUGUUUCGUUUUUUUUUGAAGUUCAGUACGCAAAGCUGUAACUUUUCUUACUUUCACAAAAAAGAAAGAAUAGCAAGAUGAGCUGAUCCCUUGACCUUGAUGUUGCAUAUGUGUUGCCAAACAACUAAUUUGUGCAACAGAUGGCAUUACUUUUAGCAUUUAUAUUAUGCGAUAACAUUUGCUUCAUGUCUACAGCCAUUGAGGGAUGGAUUGUGCUAGUCACUGGGGUUCAUGAAGAGGCAAGAAGUUGAUCUCCAUAAAGCCUUCCGUGAAUUUGGCCAAGUUAAGAACUUGCAUCGCAAUCUUGACCGUCGGACUGGAUUUGUGAAGGUUAGUCAACCCAUUUCAUGCUGUUCUUUAGACACUUUUAUAAGUGUAUGACUGUCCUGAUAAGUUUUUUUGAUCCUGAGAUAUUUCUUCUAUGUUAGUUAGAUAGUUAAAAUCUCCUUUCUGCUCUCCAUUUUUCUUUUUAGUAAGGAUCCCUAGCUCUUCCUAAUUAGGAGGCCCAAGCUCAUGCCAAAUGAUCUUCAAGCUUCUAGUGCCACAUGGAAACUCUUCAAUUUGAUUCUAUUGUAUAGAAUUCCAGCUUGAUACAACCACAUUUCUUUAGGUGACAAGUUUUUUUUAUUUAUAUGGAUUUUAAUGGUAAUUUAAAUAGUUUUUCCUUUUAGCAUUCCUUUGACCACCUCUUCAAGUUUUUUUUUUCUCUUUCUUUUUGCAUGGACAGGGGACCCCAAGAACAGGGUUUCUUCUUUGCAUGUGGCUUAUUAGUGAUGCAAGGCUUAUUAGUUGAACCACCACCACCUACCUAACCGAGGUCUUUAACAAGUUGUUAUUAUGAGCCUGUUUCGUUUGUGCAUUCCCGUGUACUUCGCAAUUGCAUUUGAUGUCUCUAGAGUUUCCUUAGGACAGUUUUUGGUGUUCCUAUUACCGGCAACAAAGUGUUUGAUUUGCUUUAUUUUUUCAUUGUAGCUAUUUUCAUUAACUCACACUUAAUACAAUCCUUGCCUCUAAUGUCUUGCCAAACAUUUUCCGAAUCUGGGUCUUUUGAUUUGCUAAAAAAAAGCUAUAUGUAAGGCAAUAAAUAAAUCCCUAUUUCUGAGAUUAUUCAGAAGAAAGCAUGCUCUUUAAUAUUAUUGCCUUUCACUGAUUUAGAUACCAAAAUAGGUGAUGAUUUGAAAUAAGUUUUGGAUCUGAAAAAAGAAAUAUGAAUAUUUUAGAUUUUUGUGCCGAAAAUCUGCACAGGGAACAAAACUAUGAUCCUAAAGGUAAUUAUUUCUGAAAAUGGGGUGAAUCCUUAAGCUCAAAUAAAGUAGAAGGGAAGAUAGUUAAAGAUAGCAGAGAAUUCAAUUUCUUCCAAUCAUCAUCAAAGCCAAUGUAAGCCAUCUCCACUCUUCUUAUAAUUCAAGAAAUGAUAAGUCCUAUUAAUAGGAUUCUCAGUCCUAUUAGUAGGAUUCCUUAAUUUUCAAGACACCUAUGGAACUUUUUCCUUAAGAAGUAAAUAAGAAUAGAUGCAAACUAGAUGCUUUAAAACUAUAAAAAUUGCCAAAUUUAUAAAUGGAACUGACCUUGAAAGCCAUGAAGGGCGUCAGAGUGCAUGAGGCUUCCGCCACUAUGGGCUUUGGAGAAGGUUAGAUGUAUAUGUCAUGCUCCAAGCUUAGAGCACAACAGAUGCCGCACGCCUGCACGGCAGACCGUACAAGCAUACAAGGCUGUAGUCAUAUCAAAGCAAUGACAAUUUUCUAAAAUUUUAUUUUGUUUAAUUAAUAAUUUGCUUAAAGCAAACUUCCAAAGUUUCAAAAUAUCAUGUGACAACAUAAAUCAAUUCUAGCUAGUCUUUCUAAAAUGCCAAUAAUUAAAAAAUUUUUUCAAAAAUCUAGCGCACUCCUCAAGUCCCGUGAGAUCACGUAUCUGAAUCUGAAAAAUAGAAAAGUAUGAUAAUGAGCUAUACUAGCCCAGUAAGCAACAUAAUACCUCAGAGUGGGGUCAAAGUAUGCUAGGUAUUUAAUCAAAAUACAAAAUAAUGAUUGACAAAUAAUCAUGAAUAAUAUAUUUUACUUUUUGAAAUUUAUUAUUAUUUGCACAAAAAUUAUGAUACUAAAGUCUCAUUAUAAAUCGGCCAAGGCCACGUAACCUAGUGGCGUGGGUUGCACAAAGUGCCAAAUCUACUAUUAUUAACCAUCGAUAGCAACAGUGUCCAAAUCCACUAUUAUUAAUCACCGGUGGCAAUGGUGUCCAAAUCCACUAUUCUAAUCACUGGUGGUGCGGUGUCGAAACCAGUUUUUCAUAGAUACUAGUCGACAGGGCUAAUGAAUAAUUUUUAUUAGUGGAGGCAGAAUAGAUUAUAGCCAUGCUGAGAAUAUAUGCAUAUAGGCAAAAAUAGAUUUUUUAUAAUUUAUCCAAUCACAUUUUCCAGACUUCAUAACAUAUAACAUAAAUACAAAAUAAUUAUUAACAUGUUUGACCCGAUUAACUAAGUAUAAAGCAUAUGUCAAAAUUUAAUCAACUAAUAAUUAUUUUAUCAAAUAAUUUUGAAACACAUUUUAAAGUAUUAGGUUACUUACCUUUUUUCGCUUUAAAUCCUACUUCAGGCAAACAUGUCAAAUACACCUGUUAAUAUCAUUAAAAUAUUAUUAAUUUUAAUAUUACUUCAGAAGUUAAAAUUAAAUACUACGGNNNNNNNNNNNNNNNNNNNNNNNNNNNNNNNNNNUCGAAAGUGGCCAAAUCUAGCUGGGGUUGAAGUAAUGGCUGGUCAACCGCCCAGGUACCAGGGUGAUUCGGGGUUUUCAAAUUGGGUCAACUUAGAUCUGAGCUACAAGAAGAAUAGGGCUUACACUAGGAUCCCUGAGCUUGUUUAGAGAAGAAAAAGGAGGAGAGAGAAUCUCGACUCGGGUAUAGAUUUGCUCUGAUCCUAGUCUUGGGCUUGGUCAGAAUGUUUCAGAUUGACCAUUAAAGGAAAGGUCUAGAUCUAGUCAGAACGUGGGCUUGCUUAGAGAGGGAUAUAUAACACAAUCUAAGGCUAAUUGAUCUUUUUGGCUUGAUCCACUUAAUUAGGUUCCAUCAAAGGCUUGCCUUAUUAAAUCCGAUUUGACCAAAAUCGAAAAAAGAGAUAUUUGGCCUGAGUCGACCUGGAUCAAUCAAUGUAUCUAGUCCUAAAUAAACGGACUCGGCCAACAAUGGAUGAAUAGGGCCCAACAGGAAUACAACCCAUAAUAGAUGAGUAGGGCUCAAAAUGAAUGAUCACGGCCCAAAAUAAAGAAUUGGGCCUCACAAGGCCCAAAAGGAAUAUGCCCCGCAAUGGUGAACAUAGCCCAAAAUGGGUAUGGCCCAAAAGGGAUGAACAUGGCUCAUCAUGGGUAUGGCCCAAAAGGGAUUAACAGGGCCCAAUAAGACUCAAAAGGAAUACGACCUAUAGUGGACAUGGCCCAAUAAGGUGAACAGGGCCCAAAAUGGGCAUGACCCAAAGAGUGGACAGGGCUCAAAUGGGCAUGGCCCGAUAGAGUGAAUAGGGCACAACAAGGCCCAAAUGGGUACGACCCAAAAGGGCCCAAAACGAAUGAACUGGGCCUAGAUGAAUAAUCAAAGCCCAAUCACAACCCAAAACAGGGUUCUUCAUCCUGUUGAGAAAACAAGGAAGGAGGAAAAGAAGGAAGAGAGGAAGGAGGGAGGAGGAAGUUCCGAUGAUGGCUGGGCCUGGGUGGCCGGAGGUUGACGGCCACCCGACCGCAGUGGCGGCCGGUGGCCACUGUGGUGGCCGAAGGGGAGGAACACUACCAGAAAACACGCGUAUAGUGACGGAGAUUCCCGUCACUAUACCGUGUUUCCAGUUACUAAUACGGAAUUUGUGACCGGAGCUCCCGUCACUGAAUUAGUUACAAAAACAAGCGUCACUAAAUUCUCAAUGACGGCGGUGAUUCCCGUCACUAACCUUUGUGACAGAACCGCCGUCACUAAGCCGUUACAAAUUCAAGAAUUAAAUAUUUAAGAAAUUAUGUAUUUUCCGUCACUAUCCAGUUGCGGCGUUAGUGACGAAGGUAACUUGGUCACUGUUUUUGUCACAGAAUACGGUCACAAGUUUGGUCACUGAUCUGUCACAACCUUCAGUGACAGAUUUAGUCGUCACAAACAUGGUCACACAUUUUGUCACUACAUUUGUCAUUAAUCCCGUCACUGACCCUCAAGACAAGGUUACCGUCACUAAUUUGUUACAAACGCUCUGAGCAAAAUCAAUUUUUAUUAACCAAAAUCCUGUCACUAAGUUUAUGACUGCUCGUCACAAUACUUGGUAAACAAGUUAGUAACCAAAAUUUGGUCACUGAUCACAAUCUAAUAACCUGGUAUAUUUGGUACAUUGAUUGGCUCAUAAUAAUAAUAAUAAUAUCAUUAACAGCAAAGUCAUUCAACAUUACGCAAAAGUCAUUUAAAAUAUCAUUCAAAAUAGGCAUCAACAUGUCCUAAAUCCAUCAAAAUCAAAGUCUAAAAAUAUGUCAUAGAGAUCAACAGAGAUUUCAUUCCUCCNNNNNNNNNNNNNNNNNNNNNNNNNNNNNNNNNNNNNNNNNNNNNNNNNNNNNNNNNNNNNNNNNNNNNNNNNNNNNNNNNNNNNNNNNNNNNNNNNNNNNNNNNNNNNNNNNNNNNNNNNNNNNNNNNNNNNNNNNNNNNNNNNNNNNNNNNNNNNNNNNNNNNNNNNNNNNNNNNNNNNNNACGCGUGUACAGCUCUGGAGCUUGAUUUGUAGAGAUGGAAGAGGAUGAUGCUUGCCCAAUAAUUCCAGUGAGAUCCUCUAGGGGACUAAAGCCAUAGACAUCUGAGGAGCCUCUGAGGUGGAGGCAUCACCAUAUUUUUUGGAGUAUUCAGCUGAAUACUUUACCUGCCAGUUGAUUUAAAAGAAGAGAAAAAUAUUAUGGUGGAUCAAACAAGAGAUAAACAUGAGCAAGCUCAAUAAUAUUUAUGAAUCAUAAAAAAAUUAUACUUACCAUGACAGCUUUCUCUAAAAAUCAAAAAAAUAAAACAACAUAAGAAAGCCUAGAAAAUAUUAGAGAGAUGAUAAAAAAAGAAAACAACAUAAGAAAAAUAGGACCAUUAAAAACACGAAAGGCAAGAUCAUAAAAAAUGUAAAAGAAACAAAAACACUGUUGAAAUAUUUAUGAAGAUGAGAAGUUAUCAUAAGCAUGACAAAAAUAAAUCAUUCAAUCUUGUCCCAGCAUCAUUGACAUUAAAAAAGCAUUCAAUCUUUACAAAAAGCUGAACAAAAGAAAUUAAUCUUUACAAGUUAUCUGUUCAUUCAUCUAAUACCAGCAAUAUUCAAGAAGCAUUUAAUCUUUACAGAGACAAGGAAUACAAGUCAAAUCAUCCAAAUUUACAUAUGGAAUACUAUCUGCUUCACAUAGAACAAAUGUCAAUAUACAUGAUCGCCUCUGAUGCUAAGAAAGCAUGGUACUUCUUAGCAAGCUUUUUGACCAGCUUCUUGAUUGCACACUGGAAAUAAGUCACAACCAUGAAGCAACACCACUUUCCACCACUUUCCAUUUUUCCUUGCAGAUGAACAAUGAUUGUAGAAAUGAAUAACAUGACGAAGAAAUUAAAAUCCAUGAACUUUACAGAGUCCCAACCCAUCAACCCUCAAAAUUACAACAGCUUAUUUUUCAACAGAGCUUAUUUUAAGAUUACAACAGAGCUGGCAAAUGGGUUUAUUUUAGACAUCAAAGGUCUAAAAUCCAUGAGCUUAUUUUAAGAUUACAACAGAGCUGGCAGAAGAAACCAUCAAAGGUCUAAAAUCCAUGAGCUUAUCUUCAUAUGAAAUUACAACAGAGCUGGCAAAUGGGUUUAAGAUUUUUUAAACAGAGCUUAUUUUAGACAAGUCUCUCCACUUACUAUAAUAAUCUACUGAUUCAACAUGUAAGGUUGCAAGCAAGUUGGGCUGCAAAUGGGUUUAAGAUUUAUUUUUUUUGUUAAAUAAUUCAUUGGGUUUUCAACUCGAGUUGCAUCAAGAAUAAUCCCAGCAUAUUAAAAUGGGAGGGGGGCUUCGACGGAUCCACAGGCGGAGAUGAACACAUAUAGUCUUUCUUUGUACGCUAUGCCAGAUAAUGACUAGAUGAAGAUGAACACAAAGAGAUGCAAACACAGGAUCAUGUAUAUAAUCGAAAAGCGUGGCGAUCAAGCGCGACGUCGGAUCCACAGGCAGAGACCCUCGGUAGGUUCCUUCCCCCUUCCUCUUCCUCUUCUUCGUUUCUUUUAUUUUGUUAUCAUGGGGUAAAAGGAAAUGGGGUUAGGGUUUACCUCCCGGAAGAACCAGUUGUGGGUUCUGAAAACCCUAGCUGACGAGCAAGAAGGAGGGGGGCGUCGACGGGGUGAUGUAGCCGCGAUGAUCUCAUCCCGGGUGAGAAGGAGAUGAACACAGGCGCCGAGCAAAGAGGUAAUGAAACCCUCGGUAGCUUAGGGUUUACCUCCGGGAAGAACCAGUUGUGGGUUCUGAAAACCCUAGCCGACGAGCAAGAAGGAGGGGGGCGUCGACGAGGUGAUGUAGCCGCGAUCGGGAGGCGUGAUGUAGUCGUGGUCUCUAUCGACGGGGAGGCAAAAAUGGUCGGCAAGGGGGAGCCGGAGAGGAGAGGCCGGAGGUGGAGGAGAGGAGAGGAGAUGGGAAGCCGCGAUGCCAAAUCCCUAACCCUCCAAUCGGGACGAUGCCAAACUUUUAAUCGAGACCGAGGAUAGGGAAGUGCUUCGAGUCACAGCUCCAAAUCGGGACUCGACUAAGUCGGUCUGCAAGCCAAAUUUCAUAUCAAACUAUUUUUUAUCUAUAAGGCUGAUUGGACGGAACUUGCAGGAAAAAAUAUUUUUGAACUAUAAAGCAUGGUAGAAAAAUCCCAGACCAUCUUCCAAAAUCCAAUCCCAUUGCAGGAAAGUAGCAAUAGGGGUGCAAAUGGGUCAUAGCCGACACCAUGAGAUUUGAAAAUGAGAAGAAGAAAUUUGAGUUUUCUGGAGAGCGAUUGGAAUUUGGGUUAUCGAAGAAAUUUGGGCGGGACGGCGGGCACACUUAGUUUCAUUUUGGAUUUUCCUCCUUUUAUCUUUUUUUAAAUUUAGAAUUACUCAAAAAUAAUAUUUUUAAUAUUUUUGGAAUUAAAAUUAAAUUUGGUGAUGGAAAUUUUUGUCAAUAAUCUGUCACCGCCAAAAAUAAUCUUUUAAAAAUUUAUAAAUACUUGGGUUACGAUAUUUGUGACUGCUGAAUUUGUCACUGUUUGGUUGCAAUUUCGGUUAUCAUUUUGCUGACAGAUACCCCGUCACUAUGAGGGUCACUAAGUUUUGGCGCCCAUCCUACCCACGCAUUCUGUGACCGGUCUGUCACUAAUCGGUCACUAAGUUUACAUCACGGUGACCAAAUUUCUGUCGGUCACUAAUCAGUCACAAAUAGUGACUGAUAACGGUCCGUCACUAAUUUUCCGUCACUAUACGCGUGUUUUCUGGUAGUGAAAGAACCAAGAACAAUCUCGGUUGGGUCCGAAAUAGAUUAUCUAAGAAUAGAAGAACAAGGAAAUGGGAGCUCAUCGGCGAGUCUAUGGAGGGAACGUAUCUCGGCCGAGGGUGGCUCAGUCCGGCGGUCAAGCGGCGAAUCUCAUGGUUGCGGCAACGAUAGCUCGAAGUCGAUCUCAAAACAGAGGAAAACAUGGUUCAUAGAAAGGUCUUUGGAUGACGCUCGGUUGGGGUGGCAUGCUGGCCACCGGAGGAGGAGAACGAGCGGGAGAAGAGGGAGGAGAGAUUGCUUGGCAGUGAUGGCUCGGUGGCAGAGAUUUAUAGGUGGAUUUCGGCUCAUCACCGUCGUGAUUCUUGUGGCGGUUGAGCGGAAUCGACGACCGUUCAAGAAGCCGCGGGGCGGCCGUGGGGCUGUUGCGGAGCACCCACCGGGCUGCCAUGGAGCGCCCGCCGCGCCUUCGCUCCAUCUCGCCCAAGAAAGGUCGAGCAGGGGAUCGCGAUCGUGAUCUCCUAUUUCGAUUCUUCUAUUGGGCCAAGGGCUAGAGUGGAUUGGGCCUGCCGACUUCAACCCAUAAAGGCCCUAUUCUCACAUUCUGCCCCCUCAUCUCCUUAAGAGAAUUUCGUCCUUGAAAUUUGAGAGAUCUAGGCCUUCCAAAUGUAACAUGCUUAGCCUAUUGAGUAAUAUAAAUUCAAGAUCUGAUUCUUCUCGAUCAUAAUUAGUGUGAUAGAUAAUUUUGCAUCAAUCAUAAACUAGCAUGAUUGGCACUAGAGAAAUGAAUAACUAAAAUCUAAGAUUGAAAUUAUCAUCUUGAUGUAAGUUCACUUAGAUCGGAUUGGGAUCAAUUUAGAACUAGGUAGAUUAACAUUAAUUAUAUUUAGGAUAAAACUUGAAAUAAAAUGGAUUUGAUACACAUAUUAUGGUAGGGUGUUGAUCCACAAAAGAUAAUGACCAACCUUAGAGUCAAAUCCUUAUAUGGCUAGAAAUGUGAUUCACAAAAUGAACAUGUAAUGAUGAUUAUUAGACAACAAUGCUCUAUCUCAAAAAUGAUUGACAUCAAAUUACAAGAGGAAGUCUGAGAAGGCAAAGUAUUGAUAUCAUGAUUCAAUAUGUCACAAGGCUUAAAAUUUAACUUAAAUUUGUAAAUCAUAAAGAGGGAGCGAAUGAUGCAUGAUUUAUUCAGAUACUUAACAAAUUAGACCAUUUUUGAUCAAUAAUUAACUAACCUUGGUCAUGAUUUUUUUUCUUAGCAUACCAAUAAUAAAAGAAUCUACCAAAACAUAGUCCACUUUUUUUUGACCAGUUUAAAAUAACUUAGCUCACUAUGCUUUCGCUGUGCAAUUUUGAUCAAUAUUUUUCAAAAUUUCUUAAUGAUUCCAGAUCAUCCACAUUUUUUUUUAAUAAAAUUCAAACAAAAUUUUAUCCUUACUUUCCAAGUACACUAGAUCAUGAUUAACCCGCAAGAUAAUUGUUAUAUUUGUACCAUCGUAUGAUCAAAUAAUCAUAUACUAGAUCCAAUAUAAACUAAGCCAGCUCUAGAUUUUCUUGACAAUAAACAAUUUGCUAUUGAUUUCUCUUUUAAGAAUAUCAAUUCUAUGCCCCCAUAAAUUAAAAGAUUCUAUAUUAACUUACUCAUGAGCAUAUUCAACUAUCUCAAAUAUUUUCUUUUAUGUUAAACUAAUUUGGACCUCUCAUGAAAUCCCCCUAGCAUUUCUCCUAUGGUGAUGCAAAAUCCAUAAUCAACUCAUGGCCUUGAUUUAUAAAUAUUUAACUUACAAAAAUCUAAUAAUCUGGUUCAAAGAUUUACAAAAAAUUCCAUCAAGAUUAUGCUCUAUGAUUUUACAUUGAGAUCAAUUCCUCAAAUAAGUAAAAUAUUUUUAUUUGCAAUACUGCAAACAUUUCAAGAUCUUGUAAUUCUACUAGACUUAGAAAAUCUACUCAAAAUACCAUUUAACUAUUUCAUCCUUUUAGUAAUAGUCCCCUUUUUUUAUUUUAUUUUUUAUAUCUCAAGCGCAUCCAUCUAGAAAUUAUCUUUGAGUCAAUGGAUACAUUCAAGUAACUAUAAUUCAAAAUGAAUUGAGUCUUAAUUUAAGUAGACGAUUCCAAAUCAACUCAUAUAAGUAAAACUAUCUAGAAGAAUUUACUCAUUGCUCUACCAAAUUAUAAGACCUUAAAUCAGCACAAAUGAGUAAAACCAACUCAAUCAUCUCUCCAAGAGUUUUCUUUACCGAGAUCUUUAGCAUUUAUCAAAAAUCUUCCAUCAUAACCAUGUAAGCCUCUAAAAUUUAAAUUCUUCAAGCAAAUCUAGAUUUUAUCAGCAACUGCAGCAAUAUUGACAAAAGAUCCUAGAUCAACUUAUAAAUCCAAACUUUGAAUUGAAGUUUCAUAUACAUCACAUAGUCUCCGAUAGAUAUGAAUAAGUUCUAUGAUUUGGAUCCAAAAAUGAUAAUUAAAAUAAUUAUUGAUUCUACCAAGAUGAAUACUUUACGAUCUGCAAUAAAAUCAAUUAUUCAAGAUUGAUAUUUAUUCUUGAAUUCUUUCAAAAGCAUAAAUUAUAAAUUUAAGAGCAAAGAGAUCUGUUGUGGUUGAAAUUUGGCCUGAGGGCGACCACGCCGGAAGGGAGCCGAGGAGACGCCGGCCGGGGAUGGAGGAAGAGGGCUGCCUCCGGUGGUCCGGGGUACCUCCGAGAAGACGCUGGCUGAGAUGAAGAAAGAAGGUCCUUCCUUUAGUGCCAAAUGUUGUAGUUGAAAUUUGGCCCGAGGGCAACCACACCAGAAGGGAGUCGAGGAGACGCCGACCGGGGAUGGAGAAAGAGGGCUACCUCCUACGCUCCGAGGUACUUGCACAAAGCCUUGGCUGGGGAUUCCGGCGAAGGCCUUCUGAUGGCUAAGUUAGCCGAGCUUUUGGAGAGGUUCUUCAUGGCUUAGAUGGCCUCUUGUAGCUUAAAAUAGCUUAUAAUGGCUUACCGAAGGCCUUUCCUACUCCCUUUUUAUAGGGUGAGAGUCUCGGCCAUUACCUAAAAUUUCAAGUCGAUUUGUGAUCAGCUGGCCAUCAAUAGAAGACGGCGUACAGUACGGAGAUCAAUCAUGCGGAUGGAGAAUUCGGGAGAUAUUUUUCCGGAUCUGUUUUGAGGGUCCACCACGUCAUUCUAAACGAAAGUGGUCGAGAGGAUUCUUAAAUGCGUCGUGUGCGCACUCACUUCAAAGCGUUACCUGGUGGUAUGCGAGGGGCUAGUCAUCAAUGUUCUACCCCCCGAGACGGCUGUCAUAAUGACCAAUUUUUAACACCGCGAUCCAGGAGGAUCUGCUGAGGGAGCCUCUAGGUCUACCACGUGGCACGAUCUGGCCGCUCGGCGGCCUAGGCAUGGGAUCCGCAGGGUCUUCGACGGGAUCAAGGUUGAUAGGGCCGUUGUCGGCUUAGCCUCGGGCCAAGGUCGGCUCGGCCUUCAGCGGGGGCCGAGGUCAGCCUGGCUCUAGUCGAGGUCGGCUCGGCCUUCGGCAUGGCUGAGGUCGACCUGGCCUCCCCCUUGAGGUCAGCUCGGACUUUGGCGGGCUGAGGUCGGCUUGGCUCUUGACGGAGCGUCGUUGCUUGGCUCUUGGCGGGGCCGAGGUUAGCCUGGGUCUUGGCGGGGCCAAGGUCAGCCUGGCUUUUGGCAGAGCCGAGGUCAGCCUGGCCGAAAUUAGGAGACUCCAUGCUGGAAUAGAACAAUCCAUUUUGGCUCCCAUCAAGAUCUAUACUAAAACAUUCCAAAUCCAAAAUCAGCCAAUGUAGGAACCAACAUUUCAAUAAUCCUAGACAUGAAAUGUUAGAUUUUUUUUUUUUUGCACAAUAGAUAGAAGAACCUAAUAACACAAUAAUAUCCAUAUCAGUCAAAAUCAAAAAUACUAUAUUUCCAACUAAAUUUCUCUUAACAAGAAAACCAUCAGGAACUUUUCCAAAUCAAAGAAAUUCUAUUUUUUGACCAACCCAAAAAUAUUUUAAUCCACCAAUAUUCUCAGGGUUUAAAGAUUGACUUUCUAUCAAAAUAUCAAUCUUAAUUGUUUCAAGUCUCCAAUAGAGCUGAAGAAGAACUCUUAAGUCUCAUCCCCAAAUAUAUUUUCCUUAUAUAUAACAAUUUCAUGUAUGAUCCAUAUACAGAUUUUAACAUCAAAAAACAUUUUAAUGAAUAUAAUAAAAUCGUUCCAAAUUCAAACAUUAACAACUUUUUAUGAACGAACUUUAACUUAUUACCAAAAUAGUUGACUUCAAGCUAGAAGUAGUAUCACAGUACCCGAUAUUAAGUUGAACUUACAAAUUAACUAAUAAACAGAUAAUUAUAUUGUACGAUAAUGUUCCAUAGAUAAUACUCCUUCACUUAAUUUUAUCGAAAUCCUAUUUAAUCAUAACCUGAAAUGCAAAUUACUUCAUAAAAAAAUCCCAAAAUAGCUUAUUCACACUUUGGCUACGAGCACAGUUAACUGGCAUUUUGAUUUCAAUAAGCAUCUCAAAAAAAAAUCAGAUAUAAUAACACAAAUUUAUCAAUAACAAAAGUACAUAAAGACAUUCGUCUCAUUGUCUAAUGUCUAUCCAUCUCUCAAAUUUUCUGACGAAUCCUAACAAUCCUAAAACUCAAGCUCCAUUCGACUAUUUCAAACACAAUCUCUAGUAAUCUUAAACCUAAGCUUUGAUACCACUUAAUCUAUCACGCUCCGAGUCCGGAACGCAACAGAUGCCACAUACCUGCAUGGCGGACCGUACAUGCAUGCAAUGCUGUAGAUCAUAUCAAAGUAAUGACAAUUUCCUAAAAUUUUAUUUUGUUUAAUAAAUAAUUUACUCAAAGUAAACUUCCAAAGUUUCAAAGUAUCAUGCGACAACAUAAAUCAAUUACUCUAAUUAGUCUUUCUAAAAUGCCAAUAACUGAAAGAAAUCUUCAGAAAUCUAGCACACUUCCCAAGUCCCGUGAGAUCAUGUAUCUAAAUCUGAAAAAUAGAAAAAUAUGAUAAUGAGCUACACUAGCCCAGUAAGCAAAAUAAUAUCCCAGAGUGGAAUCAAAGCAUGCUAGAUAUUUAAUCAAAAUACAAAAUAAUGACUGAAAAAUAAUCACAAAUAACAUAUUUUACGUUUUGAAAUUUAUUAUUAUUUGCACAAAAACUCUGAUACUAAAUUCUCGAUAUAAAUCGACUAAGGCCAUAUAACCCAGUGGCAUGGGUUGCACAAAGUGUCAAAUCCACUAUUAUUAACCACCGGUAGCAAUGGUGUCCAAAUCCACUAUUAUUAAUCACCGGUGGCAAUGAUGUCCAAAUCUACUAUUCUAAUCACCGGUGGCGCGGUGUCAAAAUCAGUUUCUCACAGAUACAAGUCGAUAGGGUCAACGAAUAAUCCCCAUUAGUGGGGCCAGAAUAGAUCAUAGCAAUGCUGAAAAUACAUACAUAUAGGCAAAAAUAGAUUUUUCAUAUUUUUUCCAAUCACAUUUUUCAGACUUCAUGUAAAUAUUGGCCAGAUGGGCCGACCUGGACCAUAAUCGGUGGCCCAUCAGGAGACCCACUUGGUAGCUUCAGGAGGAAGAUGGCGGUGGAGAUCGCUAGCUGUUGAGGCGGUUAUAACCGCCUAACAGCCACGAUCACCAUCCCUCUUUGAUCUUGACCGAGGGCUAUAAAAGCCCAUAGAUUCCUUAGUGAGGAACUCCAUCGACCACCCUCUCACUGCCUUUUACUCUCUCUUCCUUCUGUGCAAAAGAGCCGGAUCAGGAGCGGCGGUGCCGAAGGAGGUAUCUCCAGCUCGACACCGCCGCUAAAUCACCAAAGGAAACGAUCAAGCCGAUAGAAGAGACUUCUCAGCUCCUUCACGGGCCUAGGUAACCCUUAAACCCUCUCUUCCCUCAUGAUUCAUGUUCUGUUUAGCUUAGAUUUAAUCUAGCUAUGAGAUAAAAACAGAGAAAGAAGGAAAUAAAAUAAAAGAAAAAUAGAAGAAGAAGAAGAAGAGGGGAAGAGGAAGAAUAGGAAAAUGGAAGAUGAGGAGGAAAGGAAGGGGAAGAGCUUACUUGGGGUCCUCGGCUAUGGAUCCGGCACGGUGAGCUUGGCCGCAGCCCUCCUUUGGUCACGGCGAGUUCGGGCAUAGCCAUGGCCGCGGUGGUGGGUUCCUCCCCCACCGCAGUGGGAAUGAAGGUGGAGCCGCUGGCUCCGACCGCAGGCUUCACUAGCCUUCGGUCGAAGCUGCGGUGGGCUGGAGGCCCCUUCCUCUCUGGGGGUGGUUUCGAACCCCCAUUCCCACCAAGGAGCAGAGGGGGCCGGCCACCGCAAGCGCGGCCACAGGCCUGGCUGCGGGCGUUGCCGGUCGCGGCCGACCUCUCCCGUGAGGGGGAGCCCGCCCUCCUCCCUUCGCAAGAGAAGAAAGGAGAAGAAAAGGGAAAUCUUCCCUUUCCCUCUUCGCGGGAGGAGAAAAUUCGUAAACUUAGGUUCGGAAAACUUUAAGGAUUUCCGGGGAAAGGAAGGUUUCCCCUCCCCCGAACCCAGAAAGAAGAAGGAGAAGAGAAGAAGAAAAGGAAGAAGAAAGAAGAAGGUUCGGAAAGGAUGAAGAAGGAAGAAGAGAAAAAGAAGAAAAGAAAAAGAAAAAAAGAAGAAAAAGAAAAGAAGAAAGAAGGAAAGAAAAAAAAUGUUAUGGGCUUGAGAUGGGCCUGAUUCCUGUAGUAGGCUUCAAAUGAAUUGGGUUUUAAAGGCCUGAGGCCGGGCUGGGUUUGGUCCGAGCCAAGUAUUCUUAAACCCAAAACUAACUGGGCCUGAAGAGCACAAAUCUUAAUAGAAGGACUAAAUUGAAUAUAGUUUGAGGCUAGGUUCCCUUUUAACUUAACUAGAACUAAUAGGGUUUAAUUAUAAGUUAAAGGGCCUGAAUACAAAUGCGCCCAAUAACUAAAUCAAGCCCAGAAUCUAAUUAAACUUCAGGGCUGAAUGCAAAUGGGCCCAGACCUGAACCAGAGGGCAAUUGGGUCUAAACCAGAAGUUGAAAUUGGCUCAGACCUGAACCAGAAGCUGGUUCAGACCUGAAUCAGAUGUUGAAUUAGGUCUGAACCAGAACUGAACUAGACCUGAACUCAUAAUUGAAUCAAAUCUGAGCCAGAAAAUUGAUUUGACCUGAACCAGAAAUUGGGUCAGACCUGAACCAAAAAACUGAUUAGACUCGAAUCAGAAAUUGGGUCAGACCCGAACCAGCAGGUGAACCAGACCUGAACUAGAAAUUGGGUCAGACCCGAACCAGCAGAUGAAGCAGAAUUGAAUCAGAAAUUGAAUCAAAUCCGAAUCAGAAGUUAGAUUAGACCUGAACUAGAAAUGAAAUUAGGUCAUGGGGUUGAACCAAAAAUUGAAUUAGGCUAUGGACCUGAAAAUAAAAUUGAGUUCUAUGGAUGGGCUAUAAAUGACUUCAGAUUAUAAAUAAAUAGAAAUUAAAUGUGCAAGUGACAUGUAAGUUAAUGAUAUUGCUAGGUAUUGGAGAAUUGACAUCUAAGCCUAAGAUUUGGUGAGCAAAUUAAGGUAAGUGACCCUGACAUAAUUUUAUGUUUUAUCAAAUACAUGUGGCUAUUUGAUUAUGAAAUUGUAUAUGACUAUUUAUGUUUUCACAAAAUUAGGAUUAAGUAUGUGUUAGCAAAUGUUGCAUAAUUUUAACUUAGAUGACAUUCAUCAUGAUUAUCAUGCUAUGUAUAUAAAUUUAUGAUGAUAUAGAAGUUGUAUGAAAAUUAAAGUUUGCAGCAUGAUCAUGAAUUUUAUACAUUAUGAGGCUAUUAUUCACUUUUCAAUAUAUCUAUGAGAUAAGAUUUAUGAAAAGCAUGAUAUGUUUUAAGAACUCUCAGAUUGCUAGGUAAGAUCUCCGCUAGUGGGUAAUAGUAACUCGGUAUACAACCUUCGCCAGUGAGUAAUAGUAACUCGGCAUAAGACCCCCGCUAGUGGGUAAUAGUAACUCGGCAUAAGACCUUCGCCAAUGGGUAAUAGUAAUUCAGCAUAAGACCUUGCCAACGAAUAAAAGUAGUUGGUAAAGAUUACGACCCUGUCAUGGGUAAUAAUAGUGACCAUAGCUGCACUACCAUCUAAGAGUACGGAUUUCAAAGCAUGAAAUAAUGGCAAAGUUUUUAUGAUGCAUAACCAUAUUUAUGAACUUGCAUGAUUGGAUAUACAUUGUUUUAUUACUAGUUUGAUUAUAUGUUGUAUGAAUUGCUUACUUUGUUACAACUACUAGUUUUUUAAAAUAGUGCACUAGCAUGCAACACAUUAUGCUUGAUGUGGUAAGAUUAUGCAUGGUUACUUACUGAGCUUUUAUAGCUCACACCAAUUCAUUUAUGUCCUUACAGAUAAAUAGGACUGCUAGGGGCAAGGAGCUUGACUCGCUCCAGGGUUUGAGAUACACUGAAUAUAAUUGUACAAAUUUUUAGAAGCUCUGUAUCGCUCCUUAUUGUUCAAACAUUUUAUGACAUUCAUGAAAAAUAUAGUUCAUUUGAAUUUCAAAUUUUAUUUGGCUGCAUGCUAUUACAGGCAAAGGUUUGCAAUAGCACGACCGUGUCAUGAUAUAAAUUCGGGGUGUGACACUUCAUAACAUAUAACAUAAAUACAAAAUGAUUAUUAACAUAUUUGACCCGAUUAACUAAGUAUAAAGCAUAUAUCAAAAUUUAAUUAACUAAUAAUUAUUUUAUCAAAUAAUUUUGAAAACAUCCUUUGAAGUAUUAGGUUUGAGGAUGAUAGUGGUAUUUUGAUGCUUAACACAACCAUUGAAGAAAUAUCUAAUUGAAUAUUACAAGGUAAUAUGAUACAUCAUUACUAAGUCCGUCACUCUCGGUACAUUAGUAGAAUGAGAUCAAGAUGUAUUUUAAUGAUUAAUAUUGAGAUAAAAUUUGCGAUAAAAAAGAGAUAGUGAAUUCUAAAUUCUAAUUCGGCAAAGGUUCAAGUAAAACGUACUCUUAAGUGGACAAUAGUAAUUUUUAUUGUUAAGAGUAUGUAGCAUCACCAUAACAUAUAUUCAAAAUUGCUUGAAGAAUAUUUCAUUGAUUAUAUGGAUGAAUCUAACCCUAAGUUGCAGCAAAGUGUGGAAUGAGUCGACCCCAAGAUUGUUGGAGUCGACCCCGGCACAUCAAGAACCAUCUGGCACACUUCUGCAAAAAUGGCACGGAUGAACAGUACUUGGGUCGACCCAAGUAAAGGCUGAGUCGAUCCCAUCUUCAAGCCUCAAGAAAACAAUUCUCUGGAAUCCCUAAGAGGGUCGACCCAAAUGGAACUUGAGUCGACCCAACCUUGAGUCGACCCCAACUGAACAUGAGUCGACCCAAAGGCUAUGUCAUUCAAAAAUCGGUUCUCUGGAAUCCCUGAGAGGGUCGACCCAAGUGGAAUUUGAGUCGACCCAAANNNNNNNNNNNNNNNNNNNNNNNNNNNNNNNNNNNNNNNNAUUCUGUGUUUCCUGAGAGGGUCGACCCCAAUGUUGCAUGAGUCGACCCAAGUGAAAGUUGGGUCGACCCCAGUGAAAGUUGAGUCGACCUAAGCACGGGCAGAAGCAUAACGGCUAGUUCUGCAGAAGUACUUUUUGUCCUCCCAACAGCAAGUAACGGCUAGUUUUUGAAAUCUGACCAAUGAGGGGUGUCCAAUGGAUGAGGAAAACUAUUUAAAAGGACACUAUUCAUCAAAGAAAAUAUCCUUUUUGCGAAAUAUCAAAGUUUACACAAGAGAGACAAGUGCCCUAAUCUUCUUCAUCCAAGUGCUUCAUUCAAGAGUUAAAAGAAAGUGGUUGAGCAGAUUCCAAGAGAUAUUAAGAGCUUCAUCCACCCUUGAAGAGUGAAGCAUUCUUGACAAAGAAGAGAUAAGUCUCAUCAAGCGAUAACUAUAUUCUAAACUCUUCUUUGCAGCUUAUAAUUGUUAUAUUUGCUCAUCUAGGAGUUUCAACUUUCUUCUCCUUUUAAUCACAUUGUAAAGGUUUGUUGGUGAGCCCGUAAAACCAACGGUCAAGGUUUGUUGGUGAGCCCGUAAAACCAACGGUCUAGGUUUGUUGGUGAGCCCGUAAAACUAAUUGUAAAUGUUCGUUGGUGAGCCCGUAAAACCAACAUAGGUUCUUGGUGAUCCCAGAAAACCAAAGUGUAAAGGUUUUUGGAUUGUGAGCCCGGAAAACAAUCCAACUGUAAUCCGCGGGAUUAUAGUGAAUUUCCAAGGGGUCGCUUGGGGAGUGGACGUAGGUGCUUAGGAGAGCACUGAACCACUAUACUUCUUGUGUUUUUGCAUUGUGUAUUGUUUCUAAAUUUCACUCAUUCAUCGAUUAACUAAAUUAAGAUAGUAAAAAUUUAGAGAAACCAAUUCACCCCCCUUGUUGGCUUGUCACCUUGGGCAACAAGUGGUAUCAGAGCAAGGUGCUCACAUAGUAUUUAUUGAUCUCACAAUCAAGAGACAAAGAUCAUGACAACCCAAGUAGGAUGUUCUAUGAGUGAGAGGCAAUCUACAAAUAGACCUCCUCUAUUUAAUGGCACUAAUUACACAUACUGGAAAGUUAGGAUGGGGAUAUUCAUUCAAGCUCUAGACUAUGAAUUGUGGUACAUCAUAACUAGAGGACCACACACACCCACAAUUAGUAUAGAAGGCACAAUCAUUCCCAAACCAGAAAUGGAUUGGAAUGAGAGUGAUAGAAGACUGGCACAACUAAAUGCUAAAGCAAUUAAUGUACUUUACUGUUCACUAGAUGUAAGUGAAUUCAAUAGAAUAUCUACAUGCAUCUCCGCGAAAGAAAUUUGGGAUAAACUGGAGGUCACACAUGAAGGAACUAAUCAAGUUAAGGAGUCAAAAAUAAACAUAUUAGUACAUAAGUAUGAGUUGUUUAAAAUGGAAUCCACUGAGUCCAUAACUGAAAUGUUUACUCGUUUCACUGAAAUCAUAAAUGGGCUAAAGAGUUUAGGAAAGUUUUAUACUAACUUUGAAUUGGUGCGAAAAAUUCUCAGGUCUCUACCAAGAGUUUGGAAGGCCAAGGUAAUAGCAAUUCAGAAAGCAAAGGAUCUCAAUACACUGCAAUUGGAGGAACUUCUAGGAUCACUCAUGACCCAUGAGUUGACCAUGAGGUAAAAUUCAGAAGAUGAGGUCAAGAGAAGAAAGACCAUUGCCUUAAAGUCUACCACUCCAAAACUGGAAAACUGAAUCGGAAGAAUCUGAUGAUGAGGAGGAAUUUGAUGAAGAAGGAAUGGCUAUGCUUGGAAGAAAAUUCAAAAAAUUUAUGAGGAAAGAGGAAAUUUCAUAAAAAGAAGCCCUUCUUCAAAGGUAGCUCAAGCAAAGAAAAGGGUAAGGACAAAGAAAAGGAAAAUGAAACACCAAUUUGCUAUGAGUGCAACAAGCCCGGGCAUUUCAUGAUAGAUUGUCCGGAAUUGAAGUGGAUGGCAAGAAAACUUAAGAAGAAGAACUUCAUGGCUGAAUGGAGUGAAAGUGAGGAGUCAAGUUCGAAAGAGGAAGAUCAAAAAGAGACGGCACAAACCUGCCAUAUGACCAAUGACGAUGAGGUAGAUUCUGAACUUGAAUGUAAUUUUACUGUUGAAGAAUUGCAUGAUGCAUUUUUAGAACUCAUUGAAGAACACAAAAAACUAAUCAAUAAAAAUAAAGUUCUAAAAGAUGAAAAUCAAUCUCUUAUCAAAGAUAAGCUGAAACUAUCUAAUAACUAUGAAACAUUAAGUAGGAGAUUCAUAAAUAAAACCAAGAAUCUAAUUGCUGAAAAUGUCAAGUUAAAAGAAGAUGCUGAAAAAUACAAAUUCUUAGUAGAUAAGUUUACACUUAGCUCAACCAAAUUAAAUAUGAUUCUUGAUAGUCAAAAAGCUGUAUAUGAUAAAAUUGGAUUAGGAUAUAAAACAAAUAGAAAACAAAAAUACUUAAAGAAUAUAUUUGUAAAAGCCAAAAAUGAAAAUAUAACUUGUCAUUGCUGCAAUAAAUUAGGACAUAAAGCAUAUGAAUGUAACUAUAGAAAGUCCAGCAACAACAAAUUGAGUAAUAACCAUAAGCUUAAAUUCAAGAAAGUUUGGGUUCCAAAAGGAACAUCAAGUACUAACCCUAAAGGACCCAACAUAGUUUGGGUACCUAAAGCUUAUUCUUGAACUUGAUUGCAGGGGUGUCUUGCAGCUAAUAAGGUGGAUAAACGAUGGUAUCUAGAUAGCGGCUGUUCAAGACACAUGACAGGUGACGUAGAAUAAUUUGUCACCUUGGAAUCUAAGAUGGGUGGAGUAGUAACCUAUGGAGACAAUGGAAAAGGAUUUAUCAUUGGAAAGGGUAAAAUUUUUAUUACUCUAUUUACCUUUAUAGAAAAUGUCUUAUUAGUUAAUGGUUUGAAACAUAACCUACUUAGCAUAAGUCAAUUCUAUGAUAAAGAUUUUAAAGUCACAUUUGAAGCCUCAGUAUGCAUAAUCACAAAUCCUAAAGAUAACAGCAUCGUACUUGUAGGGUAAAGGCAAAGAAAUAUUUACAUGGUAGAUCUUCAUGAAUUAGGCAAGAAAAAAGGAUUAUGUUUAAUUACUAAUGAAGAAAAGAAAAAUGAAACAAGUUGGGUUUGGCAUCGUAGACUAGGACAUGCUAGUAUGGACUUAAUAUCAAAACUAGUCAAGAAGAAAUUAAUAAAAGAUGUGCCAAAAUUGAUCUUUGAAAAUGACAAAAUCUGUGGACCAUGCUCAUUAGGUAAACAAACAAAAUCAUCCUUCAAAUCAAAAAAUGUAGUAUCAACCACUAGGCCUUUUGAACUCAUACACAUGGAUCUAUUUGGACCCACUAGAACCGCAAGUCUAGGAGGGAAGAAGUAUGGACUAGUUAUAGUAGAUGAUUUUUCAAGAUAUACAUGGGUUUCAUUUCUUGCACAUAAGAAUGAAACAUUUUCAGCAUUCUUAAAAUAUUAUAAGAAUAUCAUAACUGAAAAUAAGCUCACCUUAAUAGCAAUUCGAAGUGAUCAUGGAACUGAAUUUGAAAAUCAACACUUUGAAGAAUUUUGUAAUGAAAAUGGUAUCUCACAUCAAUUUUCAGCACCUAGAACGCCUCAACAAAAUGGAGUUGUUGAAAGAAAUAAUAGGACCUUGGCAGAAAUGGCACGCACAAUGUUGUGCGAGUCAAGUCUUCCAAAGUACUUUUGGGCUGAAGCUAUAAGUACUGCUUGCCAUAUUCUAAAUCGGGUUUUAAUACGACCUAUAACCAAGAAAACUCCUUAUGAACUUUGGAAGAAUAAGAAACCAACUGCUAAAUAUCUUAAAGUAUUUGGAUGUAGAUGUUUCAUUUUAAAUAAUGGCAAGAAGGAUCUAAGUAAAUUUGAUGCCAAGUCAGAUGAAAGUAUCUUCUUAGGAUACUCUACAUCUAGCAGGGCAUACAGAGUAUUCAACAAAAGAACUCUUGUAGUUGAAGAGUCAGUUAAUAUCAUUUUUGAUGAGUCUGAUAGUGAGUCUCCUAGGAGAGAAAAUAUUCUUGAUGAUGAUGCAGGAAUUAUUGACUUUGAAAAAUUGAAUCUUGAUGACGUGCCAAAUCAAGAGAUGGAAAAUGAUUGCGUGCCACCACAAUCUCAAGACUUGCCAAAGGAAUGGAGGUAUGCUUAUGGACACCCUAAAG
Molecule: long non-coding RNA, 25924 nt
Filed under: Phoenix dactylifera (date palm)
Lineage: Eukaryota; Viridiplantae; Streptophyta; Magnoliopsida; Arecales; Arecaceae
Description: long non-coding RNA (PDAC_LNC005835)
Source: RNAcentral